RNAcentral lists this ribosomal RNA (111 nucleotides) under uncultured Neobacillus sp. The record is from RNAcentral. Lineage: Bacteria; Bacillati; Bacillota; Bacilli; Caryophanales; Bacillaceae.
CGGCGGUGAUGGCGAGAAGGUCACACCCGUUCCCAUAUCGAACACGGAAGUUAAGCUUCUCAGCGCCGAUGGUAGUUGGGUUUUACCCCUGUGAGAGUAGGACGCUGCCGG